AAAACCGAGAAACGCGGGUGGGAAGCGAAGAAAGGCCGCGGCUGGGAGAGGCUGGCUGCAUAGCCGAGUGAACACUCGCCGAGACCAGCCGCGAGGAAUCGUGCAAAGAAAAUGCAGCUUGACCUUUUUAACCUGUGUGUGGAACUUCUGGAGCAACUUUCCCUCAUGGUAUGGAUUGUACUAUGGCAUGAUGCACUAAAUGCUGUGCUAGGACAUGGACCGCCAACACUGGAUUAACCUUGCCUAUUAGCUAUGUUUCUGGGAGGAAGAGCAAGUACACGUUCACAAAUAUACCAAAUAACAACCAAAUAUACCAAAUUUAAACCUGAUGGAUGCAAGAACACCAUUUUUUGAACAAAUAUUGAGCAGAAUAAACAGGUUUAUCCCCUUUGGCUCCACGUUUACCAACACUGAAAUGAAAUUAAAAACUGGAACAAUGAAA
Molecule: long non-coding RNA, 442 nt
Organism: Taeniopygia guttata (zebra finch)
Lineage: Eukaryota; Metazoa; Chordata; Aves; Passeriformes; Estrildidae
Source: RefSeq, a predicted model, not a curated record